Molecule: ribosomal RNA, 450 nt
Filed under: uncultured bacterium
Lineage: Bacteria
Description: bacterial SSU rRNA
Rfam family: Bacterial small subunit ribosomal RNA
Source: RNAcentral
GUGGGGAAUUUUGGACAAUGGGCGCAAGCCUGAUCCAGCAAUGCCGCGUGCAGGAAGAAGGCCUUCGGGUUGUAAACUGCUUUUGUACGGAACGAAACGGUCCUGGUUAAUACCCGGGGCUAAUGACGGUACCGUAAGAAUAAGCACCGGCUAACUACGUGCCAGCAGCCGCGGUAAUACGUAGGGUGCAAGCGUUAAUCGGAAUUACUGAGCGUAAAGCGUGCGCAGGCGGUGCUGUAAGACAGGCGUGAAAUCCCCGGGCUUAACCUGGGAAUUGCGCUUGUGACUGCAGUGCUGGAGUGCGGCAGAGGGGGAUGGAAUUCCGCGUGUAGCAGUGAAAUGCGUAGAUAUGCGGAGGAACACCGAUGGCGAAGGCAAUCCCCUGGGCCUGCACUGACGCUCAUGCACGAAAGCGUGGGGAGCAAACAGGAUUAGAAACCCUGGUAGUCC